AUCAGGCCUAACACAUGCAAGUCGAACGAACCCUUCGGGGUUAGUGGCGCACGGGUGCGUAACGCGUGGGAACCUGCCUUUAGGUUCGGAAUAACAGUUAGAAAUGACUGCUAAUACCGGAUAAUGUCUUCGGACCAAAGAUUUAUUGCCUUUAGAUGGGCCCGCGUUGGAUUAGAUAGUUGGUGGGGUAAUGGCCUACCAAGUCGACGAUCCAUAGCUGGUCUGAGAGGAUGAUCAGCCACACUGGGACUGAGACACGGCCCAGACUCCUACGGGAGGCAGCAGUGGGGAAUAUUGGACAAUGGGCGAAAGCCUGAUCCAGCAAUGCCGCGUGAGUGAUGAAGGCCUUAGGGUUGUAAAGCUCUUUUACCAGGGAUGAUAAUGACAGUACCUGGAGAAUAAGCUCCGGCUAACUCCGUGCCAGCAGCCGCGGUAAUACGGAGGGAGCUAGCGUUGUUCGGAAUUACUGGGCGUAAAGCGCACGUAGGCGGCUUUUCAAGUCAGGGGUGAAAUCCCGGGGCUCAACCCCGGAACUGCCCUUGAAACUGGAUGGCUAGAAUACUGGAGAGGUGAGUGGAAUUCCGAGUGUAGAGGUGAAAUUCGUAGAUAUUCGGAAGAACACCAGUGGCGAAGGCGACUCACUGGACAGU
This 650-nucleotide ribosomal RNA is filed under the name uncultured bacterium. RNAcentral describes it as "bacterial SSU rRNA". It matches the Rfam family "Bacterial small subunit ribosomal RNA", at positions 41 to 737 of the family's 1533-position model. The record is from RNAcentral.